RNAcentral lists this ribosomal RNA (460 nucleotides) under uncultured bacterium. RNAcentral describes it as "partial 16S ribosomal RNA". It matches the Rfam family "Bacterial small subunit ribosomal RNA", at positions 338 to 795 of the family's 1533-position model. The record is from RNAcentral.
CCUACGGGUGGCAGCAGUGAGGAAUAUUGGUCAAUGGCCGCAAGCCUGAACCAGCCAAGUCGCGUGAGGGACGACUGCCCUACGGGUUGUAAACUUCUUUUAUAAAGGAAUAAAGUAUGGCACGUGUGCCUUUUUGUAUGUACUUUAUGAAUAAGCAUCGGCUAACUCCGUGCCAGCAGCCGCGGUAAUACGGAGGAUUCGAGCGUUAUCCGGAUUUAUUGGGUUUAAAGGGAGCGUAGGUGGGUUUUUAAGUCAGUUGUGAAAGUGUGCGGCUCAACCGUAAAAUUGCAAUUGAUACUGGCAGCCUUGAGUACAGUUGAGGUAGGCGGAAUAAGUGGUGUAGCGGUGAAAUGCUUAGAUAUCACGAAGAACUCCGAUUGCGAAGGCAGCCUACUAGACUGCCACUGACAUUGAUGCUCGAGAGUGUGGGUAUCAAACAGGAUUAGAUACCCGAGUAGUC